RNAcentral lists this long non-coding RNA (3648 nucleotides) under Cricetulus griseus (Chinese hamster). Its description in RNAcentral is "lncRNA (ENSCGRG00015043447.1)". The record is from RNAcentral. Lineage: Eukaryota; Metazoa; Chordata; Mammalia; Rodentia; Cricetidae.
GGGGCAGGGAAUGUAAAAAAAAAAAAAAAAAGCACAGGAACUGUGUGAAGCUCUCCUUGGACCCUCCUGGAAGAAAGGGUCACAUUCCAUUCCUGGGCCUUCAGGAAGCGAUCUUUACCCGCUUUCUUUCCUUGAGAGUAGGCCUGUGGUGGGGCCUAGUGCUGGGUGCAUGAAGGUAACAACUACCGUUUGUGCUUACUCAUGGUCCCGCCCUGGCAAAGCUGGAGUCUCCUAGGGGUGGGGAAUGAGGUCUGGCCAGGGAGAAUGCCUCUAGCUCAGCAGCAGGCAGCCCCAGGCAUCCAGCAGGAAGAGGCAGGCUCCAAGAAGCAGAGGGCUGGGUGGAGGAGGUCAGAUCUGGAUUCCUGCUUUCUGUCAUAUGUGAAUUCAGCCUCAGCCUCCAGAAAGCUUCCAACUGGCCCCUCUCCAUGGAACUAGUCUGGUUCACCGUGCUUCAGAUCCUGCCAUCCACGGCGACUCAGCCUUUGGGUGGCUCUGUGCUGCACGUCACUGCUCUAACCCUAGAGUGAGCUGAGAAAUCCCAUUACAGAUGGCUGUGAGCCACCAUGUGGUUGCUGGGAAUUGAACCCAGGACCUCUGGAGGAACAGCCAGUGCUCUCAAGCUCUGAGUCAUUCUCCAGCCUCCUCACUCUUAAGCUGGGAAAGUGUGAGGCCGCAGAGAAGUUCCGCAAGCUCAGGCCGGAGAGAUGCAGGGCAGAGGUGUUGCCCAAGGCCCAGAGUCCUGGUUGCCUCCAAAUCCUGCCACUUUCCAGUCCCUUUCCUUCUCUGUCCUCAAGGAAUGACAGCUGCGCUGAGGCCCUCGGUGCCUCAGGACCCUCUGGUGGAGUUCAGACUCCAGCUGGCUCAAUGCAAGAGGUAGGCGAGGCUCUCUGGGGCGCUUGCGCCUGCUCAGCCAGCGUGAGUGGGAGGCCUGGAGGGCUGCCACCGAGAGCCGGGAAUGAAUGUUGCAGAACUUCCUCUUUCUCAAGCCUCUUAAUCCCGUUUAGCCAAGGCAGUCUGCACCACCCCCUGUGAGGAGUUGGGUCCCAAAAGCCAGGAAAAGAGUCAGAGACAGCCCACACUCCUAUGUUGAGAGUCACACAAGAAGAUGAAACUACACAACUGUCACGUAUAUGCAGAGGGCCUAGGUCAGUCCCAUGCAGGCUCCCUGGCUGUCGGUUCAGUCUCUGUGAGCUCCUGGUUAGUUGAUUCUGUGAGUUUUCUCCUGAUGUCCUUGGCCCCUCUGGCUCCUACCAUCCUUCUGCAGGAUUCUCCAAGCUCUGCCUAAUGUUUGCUGUGCGUCUCUGCACCUGUUUCCAUCAGUUGCUGGAUGAAGCCCCCUGAUGACAGUUAGGCUAGGCACCAACCUGUGAGUAUAGCAGAAUAUUGUUAGAAAUCAUUACAAUGCCUUUUUGCUUUUCCUCCAGUCAUGUUUGGUUCUAUCCUGGGUCUCCAGUCUGUGGGUCCUGGGUCUCCAGGCAGGGGCGGGGGCGGGCUCACUCUCCUGGCACGGGUUUUGAAAUGCUUGGUAGCAAGCUUGACUCUAGCUUUGACCAAUCCCCAGUGCCACGAAAUGCAUGUCAAUGAGUAUUAUUCUUAAGAGCUGACAGUCGACUACAGUUCUCAGGUGCUGGGGUUUCCCUACUCUGUUCUGCUGCCAUCAGGAAGCCCCGCCCCUGGCCUGGCUCAGCUGGCAAUUGCUACUGUGUUCCCGGGGAAUUUUCUCUAACAAUCUUGUGUGUGAUCUGAACUGUAGCCCAGAAAUAAGGUUUUUGUCCCUGUGUUUGCAGCGAGUUAAGUGCCCCAGACAUUGGAUUUGUAGCCGUUGCAGCUCUGCGGGGAUAGAUCCACCAAAUGUGCAAAGCACGGCCGGCCACAGACAGAGGUGGUAGGAUUCUCCAUCUCGUCUCCAGCAGAAAUCCCAGAGAGCCUGUUAUCACAGACGCCGGGACUGACCAGAGCAUCCUCCUAAUUACAAGGUUCUUCUGAAGCAGUAUGUUACCUUAGCGCCAGCAGCUCGCACGUCUCACAUGCGACUCCCACCACGUCACUGGAACUCUUCCAAGAGCCACAUGGAGUGGCUGGCCCAUUGAAUGGACUGUUCUUUUCUGCAACCCCAUUUGGUUUCAUAGCAGUGUUUCUUCUUUCUUUCCCCUUGGAACCUUGGGAAAUCCCCCCAAAGAUGAGAGCCCAUGAGCUCUCAUCUCAUUGGCUGGCACAGACUGGCCAAGAGUGCUCAUCAGUGAAGGUUGAGCAUACAUGUUCAGUCAUCGCGCGUUGAUUGAGUGCUGUAUGUGCAUGGAUGCAAAGGUGAGCCUCUGAAGGACUGCAGAGACCAGUGAAUGAAUAAACAAAUCCGUGACUUCAAGACUCGUCUUCACUCCCGGAUGCCGUGAGGGCCCAGGGACUAUCUCUACCCAUCAGAGACAAAGGGACACCACGUCCAGGCACGGCGCCCUCUUGUCUCUGAAUCUCACUCUCCCCACAUGGAAGAUGGGGCCAGCGAUUACCAACUUCCUGGGCCAUGGGGGGUUCAUCGUGGAGCUGGUGAACCCCCUUCAUGCUCUCAUCUCUCCUAGGGCUGUUCAUGAGGUCAUUUGUAGUUUGCAGACACUACGGAGUCAGGCUGUUUUCUUGUAAAGAACGCUCCUGCGAUGGCUAAUCUUCAUUGUCAACCCCACAGAAUGGAAAAUCACCCGGGUACAUCCAUGUCUGCGCCCAUGAGGCUGUUUCCAGAGAAUUUAACUGAGGAGGGACAACCUGCCCUGAACAUGGGUGACACUGUUAUUCUUUUGUUUAAAAAGAAGAAAAGAGAAAUAUUGAGAUGGACAUAUUGACUAUAAGUUUAUUAUAAGGACCGGCAGAAUGGGGAGACUAAGAGGAGGAACAGGGUAAUGGCUGACCGCCAUGGCCGGUCGCCAUAGAGAGACAGAGCGGGGAAACAGAGAGAGGGGACAGAGAGCAGGAACAGGGAGGAGAGAGAGAGAGAGAGGGCAGGGGCCUAUCUUUUAAAGGGGUCCUCUGCACCUGCGUACAGACUUCUUUCCCAUGGAACCUUGGGCUGACCAGGGUAUUGCCUGAGUGGAUUCCACCAGGUAACAGGGGCAGGCCAGCAUAAUGCCUGAACCUUUCAGACACCAUCUCAGGUCAGGGGUUCCAGACUAAAUUAAAAAACAGACAACAAUCUGAGUGCUCCCUGACCUCUCUUUGUGUCCUGACUACAGAUGUCACCAGCUGCUUCUUGCUCUGGGUGCCCUAACUGGAAGUAGUUCUCUCAGCCAAGCCUCCCACCAUGAUGGACUGUACAUCCUCAGUCUUUGGGCCAAAAUAAACCCUUGCUGCAUUACGUUGCUUUGGUCAGUAUUCUCUCACGGCAACGAGAAAAUUUAGGAGUCCCUAAAUGCUCUAAGUAUCGGACCCCACCAAACCUGAGCUGGCUACUGCACAGAGCCAUGGUUAAUCGUGAGUGACAGGAAAAGGGGCUUCAAGGUGGAGGUAUCAUCCAAACUUGCUGUUUAGGGACACAUGAAGGGCUUUGGGAUCACAGAUGCUCCCUGGAAUUUGCAGGAGUACCACUGUGCCUUCACUAGUGACUUGGGAGGAUAAAAAGGACUACACCUCGUUAGUCUCUUGAGAUGCACAAUUUUAAAG